Molecule: transfer RNA, 87 nt
Filed under: Bacillota bacterium
Lineage: Bacteria; Bacillati; Bacillota
Description: tRNA-Leu
Rfam family: tRNA
About the family: Transfer RNA (tRNA) molecules are approximately 80 nucleotides in length. Their secondary structure includes four short double-helical elements and three loops (D, anti-codon, and T loops).
Source: RNAcentral
GCCGGGGUGGCGGAAUCGGCAGACGCAAGGGACUUAAAAUCCCUCGGGGUUAUCCUCGUACGGGUUCAACUCCCGUCCCCGGCACCA